RNAcentral lists this small RNA (47 nucleotides) under Sinorhizobium meliloti 2011. Its description in RNAcentral is "putative ncRNA". The record is from RNAcentral. Lineage: Bacteria; Pseudomonadati; Pseudomonadota; Alphaproteobacteria; Hyphomicrobiales; Rhizobiaceae.
GUGUAGUUUUCGAAGGCGUACUCCAAGGCGAUAAAAGAUACAUCUUC